RNAcentral lists this ribosomal RNA (731 nucleotides) under uncultured bacterium. RNAcentral describes it as "bacterial SSU rRNA". It matches the Rfam family "Bacterial small subunit ribosomal RNA", at positions 53 to 796 of the family's 1533-position model. The record is from RNAcentral.
ACGAAGCAAUUUCUCACGAUCCCUUCGGGGUGACGAGUUAUUGACUGAGUGGCGGACGGGUGAGUAACGCGUGGGUGACCUACCUUGUACAGGGGGACAACAGUUGGAAACGACUGCUAAUACCGCAUAAGCGCACAGCAUCGCAUGAUGCAGUGUGAAAAGUUUUUUCGGUACAAGAUGGACCCGCGUCUGAUUAGCUAGUUGGUGAGGUAACGGCCCACCAAGGCGACGAUCAGUAGCCGACCUGAGAGGGUGACCGGCCACAUUGGGACUGAGACACGGCCCAAACUCCUACGGGAGGCAGCAGUGGGGAAUAUUGCACAAUGGGCGCAAGCCUGAUGCAGCGACGCCGCGUGAGCGAAGAAGUAUUUCGGUAUGUAAAGCUCUAUCAGCAGGGAAGAUAAUGACGGUACCUGACUGAGAAGCACCGGCUAAAUACGUGCCAGCAGCCGCGGUAAUACGUAUGGUGCAAGCGUUAUCCGGAUUUACUGGGUGUAAAGGGAGCGUAGGCGGUUUUACAAGUCUGAUGUGAAAGCCCGGGGCUCAACUCCGGUAUUGCAUUGGAAACUGUAGAACUAGAGUGUCGGAGGGGUAAGUGGAAUUCCUAGUGUAGCGGUGAAAUGCGUAGAUAUUAGGAGGAACACCAGUGGCGAAGGCGGCUUACUGGACGAUUACUGACGCUGAGGCUCGAAAGCGUGGGGAGCAAACAGGAUUAGAUACCCUGGUAGUCC